AACGCACAUUGCGCCUCCUUUCCGGGAGGCAUGCCUGUCUGAGCGUCGUUUAAACCAUAGCCCCCAAAAGGGUCUGUCUUGGGCAUCGCCUUUGGGCGUAGCCUCGAAGCGAUUGGUCUGAAGAGCGGAUGAAAUCCAUUAGGACGGACCGUUCUGCGACCUUAAACUUUGAAUUUGACCUCAGAUCAGGUAGGACUACCGCCUGAACUUAA
Molecule: unclassified non-coding RNA, 212 nt
Filed under: Mortierella sp.
Lineage: Eukaryota; Fungi; Mortierellomycota; Mortierellomycetes; Mortierellales; Mortierellaceae
Also listed under: 4 other names
Description: partial contains 5.8S ribosomal RNA, internal transcribed spacer 2, and large subunit ribosomal RNA
Source: RNAcentral